Molecule: long non-coding RNA, 290 nt
Filed under: Numida meleagris (helmeted guineafowl)
Lineage: Eukaryota; Metazoa; Chordata; Aves; Galliformes; Numididae
Description: lncRNA (ENSNMEG00000008584.1)
Source: RNAcentral
UUCAGAGCUAAGAAACUACAAAUAAGUACCACAAUAAGAUGCUGGUGAUUUGGUGGAGUGAUUUUACCUAACAAGUGCAUUCCUUCUUCAAGGGAACAGAUGAAACCUCCUCCAGCUUGGAAAAGGAUUAAAACAAUAAUAACGUGAAGGUAGAAGAGAUCUUUCAGCAGCUAUUGCAAAAUGCAUUAUCACAGAAGAAAGGGACAUAUUGUUUCCAUAAAGGCUGGGACUGAAAGGGGAUGAAGGCCUUUAAUGCUGAAAAUGCAGUUUACAGGCAGAUAGAAUAAAUU